Molecule: ribosomal RNA, 3324 nt
Filed under: Triticum aestivum (bread wheat)
Lineage: Eukaryota; Viridiplantae; Streptophyta; Magnoliopsida; Poales; Poaceae
Description: partial small subunit ribosomal RNA
Source: RNAcentral
AUGGAGGCUGCGGCGGCCACCGCUUUUGUCGGUAGGAUCGCGCCGAAGCUCCUCGAAUUCUUAGCUGCAAAUCACAAGCUUCGGCAGAAUCUGGAGCAUGACAUCACCUACAUCCAAAGAGAGUUUGCGUUGAUCUCCGCUGCCAUUCAGCAAGAUGAUGACUGUCGCUGGAGGAGCGGCGACCAUGUGAAGAGGGCCUGGAUCCAAAUCAUACGUGACUUGGCCCAUGCCAUCGAGGACUGCAUCGACCGCUUCAUGCACCGGGUGACCAUCUCUGGGGCGUCGACAUGGAUCCGUCAGGCUGUCCACCGGGUGCAGACGGUGACAGUCCGUAAGGAGUUUGCCAAGGCGAUCCGCGAGCUCAAGAAAAUAUCACAGGAGUCAUCCAAGCUGAGAGAAACUUAUUACAGCGCCAACAUCGGUGCUGGCACCUCCUCUUCCUCAGUGGCGUCGUCGGUGAUGGCAUGUGAGACGGCGACACAGAUGGUGAUAGAUGACACCCUCUCAGCUGGCCAACCCGUGGGCAUGGAUGCACCCUGGGAGGAGCUUCUCGAGCUGAUCCAGCAGCAGCAACAGCAGCUCAAGGUGAUUUCCAUUGUUGGUUUCGAUGGUAUAGGCAAGACUCUCCUUGCCAGGUGUGUGUAUGACACAAUUGAGAACCAAUACGAAGCUCGGGCAUGGGUCUCUGCAGCGGAGCAAGGGGUCCCAACAAAUGUUAUCAAGGAGAUACUCCAGCAAUUUGCCAUCCCCACCAAUGGUGGAGGUAACCUCAGCAAGCUCUGCGCAAUCCUUAGACUAUACCUUGGGACCAAGAGGUUCUUCAUUGUUAUUGAUGACAUGCGGACAGAAUUUUGGCAUGAUAUAAAAGAUGCAUUUGUGGGGUUGAGCGGCAGAGUUUUGGUGACGACAGCCAUUCAUUCAGUAGCAAAUGCCUGCAGCAGCUCAGCAGCUCAUGAUCAUGUGUACGCAAUGAAAACUCUUGCCGAUGAACACUCGAGACUAUUAUUCUUCAAGGAAGCUUUUCAAGACGACAAUCCACCAAUCGAUAAAGAGGACCAACUUGGCUCGGAAGCACUGAAGAAGUGUGAUGGUUUACCCCUUGCUCUUGUUACCACAGCACGGUACUUGCAAAGCACAGGUAAUCCAACACAUGGAAACUGGGCAACAUUAUGCCACAACCUGGGAGCACAUCUGGAAACAAAAGAGAUGUUAGCAAGAAUGAAGCGUGUGCUUGUCCAUAGCUACACCAGCCUUGUUAAACAUGAUGUCAAGACGUGCUUACUAUAUCUCGGUAUCUACCGUAGUGGUCGUACAGUUAGGAGAGGAAGCUUAAUAAGGAAAUGGUGCGCUGAAGGGUUUAUCCAAGGAGAUUAUAUGUGUAAUGCUCUGGAUGCUGCUAAAGCCAAUUUCAAAGAGCUUCUCAACCGGAGCAUCAUCAAACAUACAGAUGCCAGCAGCAAAAACAACAAAGAUCAGGUGAAGACAUACCAUACUCACGGCAUGAUGCUUGAGUUCAUCCUGCACAUGUCCAAGUGUGACAACUUCAUUACCUUGUUAUAUGAUCAGAUGGCUCCCCCACCUCCACCCAGCAAAAUCCGUUGGCUCUCUCUCCAUGACGCAAGUGCUAGAGUAGUAAAUGAUCUAUCUCUUGUUCGGUCUCUGACGGUCUUUGGCAAGGCGCAUGAUUCAGUCUUGGAUUUUUCCAAAUAUGAACUGCUUCGAGUUUUGGAUUUAGAAGAAUGCAGUAACCACUUGGAGGACAAGCAUCUUAGGGAGAUAUGCAGCAACCUGUUGCUGCUCAGGUACUUAAGCCUUGGGGCUGCACAUAAGGUUGCGGUGCUCCCCAAAGAGAUAAAAAAGCUUCAACUUUUGGAGACGCUGGAUGUAAGAAAAACCAAGAUAGAGGUCCUGCCGACACAAGUCAUGGAGCUGCCAUGCCUGAUUCAUCUAUUUGGAAAGUUCAAGCUCCAGCAAGGUGUAGGAGGACGGAAAAUGCAUAAGCUGCAAAUUUGGUUCUCGGAGAAUAGCAAAUUGGAAACAGUAGCAGGAUUUGUUGUGGACAGCAACAAGAGCCAAGGAUUUGCACAGUUCAUGGAGCAUAUGAAACACUUGACGAAGGUGAAAAUAUGGUGUGAGCAGUCCAGUAAUAAUAGCAGGGAUCCCACUGCCAGCGGCAGCAGCAGCAACACCAACAACUACACUCAUGUCUCAAAGGCCAUCAAGGGGUUCAUCAAGAGAAGCACCGAUGUGAAAAAAGCUCAUUCACUCUCACUACAUUGCAAUGAUAAAUGGUUCCAAGACUUGCUCGUGAACUUGUCCCUAGAAAAAGAAGAAGCUUCCUCCUGCUAUCUUAGUUCGCUCAAGCUACAAGGGGGCAACAUAUGCAGCCUGCCUCCAUUUGUUACCAUGCUAGGUGGUCUCACUAAGCUGUGCCUUUCAUCCCCUCAUCAUCAGCUGGGCGGGGAUAUUCUUGUUGCCCUAAGCAGAGUGCGCUGCUUGGCAUACCUGAAGAUGAUUGCAUCUCAACUGGACAACCUCGUCAUCGUAGAAGGUGCACUUGGAAACCUGCGACAACUAUGCAUCGUGGUUGAAGUCAUGACUGAACUGGAAGUCCAAGAGGGAGCUCUACCGCUCCUCGAGUCGCUCCAGCUGCUAUGUAAGGAUCUAAAUGGCUUUUGCAGCAAGAUGAUCCAGUCCCUGCGACGUAUUAAGGAGGUCACCCUCCAUGAUGGAGUGAACGGUGAAACAAAACAAAAGUGGAAGGAAGCAGCAAAAAAACACCCCAGACGCCCCAAUCUCUUGUUUGUUAAAACAGCAGAAGAUGCUGAUAUGGGAAGUGAACCCGCAGACAAUUCUGAGAGCCCUGUGGCACAAACUACUGCUACAACGGUAUCAGUGAUAACAACCCAGGAUGCCAUUUCUACUGGACAAUCUGUACAAGUUGAUGGUGCUGAUCUACAACAGGGUGAUGAGAAAGAACAUGCGUAUAAAAUUGAUAUCCUAGAGGAUUUUGCUAGCAAGACUUGUCUUGACCCUCCAAUGAACACGGAAAGUUUUGAACAGGGGAUGGAAGGAAUGGUAGGUUUAGAGGAUGAGCGGAUGGAAGAUGUCACUCAUUCUACUGAUCAGGCUGAUCAAAAUGUUGUGCUUUCUGUGGUGGGGGAGAACAGAAGAAAGAGGGCAAGAUUAGACAUUGGUGAAGAUAACUCAAUGGACAAGGUUGUUGAUAGGGUGAAGCGCAAGAAGCCAGAGGAUGUCCAAGAAACGAUGCCUACAAAACAAACAGCGCCUGGGCUAGCGGUUGCUGUCUCUGAUGGAAAUUGA